This 441-nucleotide ribosomal RNA is filed under the name uncultured bacterium. RNAcentral describes it as "bacterial SSU rRNA". It matches the Rfam family "Bacterial small subunit ribosomal RNA", at positions 29 to 460 of the family's 1533-position model. The record is from RNAcentral.
AACGAACGCUGGCGGCGUGCUUAACACAUGCAAGUCGAACGCGAAAGGGACUUCGGUCCUGAGUAAAGUGGCGCACGGGUGAGUAACGCGUAGAUAACCUGUCUUUAUGUCUGGAAUAAUACGCCGAAAGGGGUACUAAUACCGGAUAUUCUUGCUUUAUAUAAGUUUUGCAAGGAAAGGUGGCCUCUGAAUAUGCUACUGCAUGAAGAGGGGUCUGCGUACCAUUAGCUAGUAGGUGGGGUAAUGGCCUACCUAGGCAACGAUGGUUAGCGGGUCUGAGAGGAUGAUCCGCCACACUGGCACUGGAACACGGGCCAGACUCCUACGGGAGGCAGCAGUGAGGAAUAUUGCGCAAUGGGGGCAACCCUGACGCAGCGACGCCGCGUGAGUGAGGAAGGCCUUCGGUCGUAAGCUCUGUCAAGGGAAAGAAGUAGCAUGGUG